RNAcentral lists this transfer RNA (73 nucleotides) under Mesocricetus auratus (golden hamster). It matches the Rfam family "tRNA". Rfam says of the family: Transfer RNA (tRNA) molecules are approximately 80 nucleotides in length. Their secondary structure includes four short double-helical elements and three loops (D, anti-codon, and T loops). Further hydrogen bonds mediate the characteristic L-shaped molecular structure. tRNAs have two regions of fundamental functional importance: the anti-codon, which is responsible for specific mRNA codon recognition, and the 3' end, to which the tRNAs corresponding amino acid is attached (by aminoacyl-tRNA synthetases). tRNAs cope with the degeneracy of the genetic code in two manners: having more than one tRNA (with a specific anti-codon) for a particular amino acid; and 'wobble' base-pairing, i.e. permitting non-standard base-pairing at the 3rd anti-codon position. Lineage: Eukaryota; Metazoa; Chordata; Mammalia; Rodentia; Cricetidae. The record is from Rfam by way of RNAcentral.
GGUGGGGUGGCUUAGUUGAUAAAGUGUUUGCCUUCCAAGAAUAAGGACCUGAGUUCAAUUCCCAGCCCUACCU